GGGCCCGCACAAGCAGUGGAGUAUGUGGUUUAAUUCGACGCAACGCGAAGAACCUUACCAGGUCUUGACAUCCCGUGCAUAGCAUAGAGAUAUGUGAAACCCUUCGGGGCACGGAGACAGGUGGUGCAUGGUUGUCGUCAGCUCGUGUCGUGAGAUGUUGGGUUAAGUCCCGCAACGAGCGCAACCCUUAUCGUUAGUUACUACGCAAGAGGACUCUAGCGAGACUGCCGUUGACAAAACGGAGGAAGGUGGGGAUGACGUCAAAUCAGCAUGCCCUUUAUGACCUGGGCUACACACGUACUACAAUGGCCGUUAACAGAGGGAGGCGAAGCCGCGAGGUGGAGCAAAACCCAGAAAAACGGUCUCAGUUCGGAUUGGAGGCUGCAACCCGCCUCCAUGAAGCCGGAAUUGCUAGUAAUCGCGGAUCAGCAUGCCGCGGUGAAUACG
RNAcentral lists this ribosomal RNA (447 nucleotides) under uncultured Eubacteriales bacterium. RNAcentral describes it as "bacterial SSU rRNA". It matches the Rfam family "Bacterial small subunit ribosomal RNA", at positions 917 to 1370 of the family's 1533-position model. Lineage: Bacteria; Bacillati; Bacillota; Clostridia; Eubacteriales. The record is from RNAcentral.